RNAcentral lists this ribosomal RNA (482 nucleotides) under uncultured bacterium. Its description in RNAcentral is "bacterial SSU rRNA". It matches the Rfam family "Bacterial small subunit ribosomal RNA", at positions 32 to 524 of the family's 1533-position model. The record is from RNAcentral.
AAUCAACGCUGGCGGCGUGCCUCAGACAUGCAAGUCGAACGAUUAAAGCUCUCUUCGGAGAGUGCAUAAAGUGGCGCACGGGUGAGUAACACGUAAGUAAUCUACCUUCGAGUGGGGAAUAACGUCCGGAAACGGACGCUAAUACCGCAUAACGCAGCGGCAUCGCAAGAUGACAGUUGUUAAAGAUUUAUCGCUUGAAGAGGAGCUUGCGGCAGAUUAGCUUGUUGGUAAGGUAACGGCUUACCAAGGCUACGAUCUGUAUCCGGUCUAAGAGGACGGUCGGACACACUGACACUGAAUAACGGGUCAGACUCCUACGGGAGGCAGCAGUCGGGAAUUUUGGGCAAUGGGGGAAACCCUGACCCAGCAACGCCGCGUGAAGGAUGAAGUAUUUCGGUAUGUAAACUUCGAAAGAAUAGGAAGAAUUAAUGACGGUACUAUUUAUAAGGUCCGGCUAACUACGUGCCAGCCGCCGCCGUAAU